This 254-nucleotide ribosomal RNA is filed under the name uncultured bacterium. RNAcentral's name for it is "partial 16S ribosomal RNA". It matches the Rfam family "Bacterial small subunit ribosomal RNA", at positions 524 to 776 of the family's 1533-position model. The record is from RNAcentral.
UACGUAGGGGGCAAGCGUUGUCCGGAUUUAUUGGGCGUAAAGAGCUCGUAGGCGGCUCGGUAAGUCGGAUGUGAAAACUCGGGGCUCAACCCCGAGACGCCAUCCGAUACUGCUGUGGCUUGAGUCUGGUAGGGGAGAACGGAAUUCCUGGUGUAGCGGUGAAAUGCGCAGAUAUCAGGAGGAACACCUAUUGCGAAGGCAGCUCGCUGGGACGUUACUGACGCUGAGACGCGAAAGCGUGGGGAGCAAACAGG